AACAGAAAAAUUGUUGCAUGGUGCAAUUGAAGAGAUAUAUUUUCUGCAAGUGCGUUUGAUGGGCCUCAAUACCAAACUAAGUCUUAAGCCUGUCAUUCACUGAUCCUGACUUAAUCUAUCUAUCAUUCCGACCUUGAUUCGGCCAAAACUCAUUUCACGCUUCCGUAUCUGUCAUUCCGACCUUGAUUCGGCCAAAAUUCGAUUCGGCCAAAAUUCGUAUCACGCUUCCGGCUAGUAAAUUGGCUCUGAUACUAUCUGACUCAAUCCGCCGGUAAUAAUAAUUCGUCGGGUCAAACCAUUUCACGCUUCCGUAUCUGUCAUUCCGACCUUGAUUCGGCCAAAAUUCGAUUCGGCCAAAAUUCGUUUCACGCUUCCGACUAGUAAAUCGGCUCUGAUACCAUCCGACUCAAUUCGCCGGAAAUAAUAAUUCGUCGGCUCAAACCAGCCGUUCAAAUUACUUAAACCUAAUUAUUAUUAUUAUUAUUAUUAGAAUGUAGUCCACUCAUAUAUUCAAUAAUAAUUUUAUUAUCAUCCGAUUUGGGACUAU
RNAcentral lists this long non-coding RNA (547 nucleotides) under Ananas comosus (pineapple). Its description in RNAcentral is "long non-coding RNA (ACOM_LNC002959)". The record is from RNAcentral. Lineage: Eukaryota; Viridiplantae; Streptophyta; Magnoliopsida; Poales; Bromeliaceae.